This 359-nucleotide ribosomal RNA is filed under the name uncultured bacterium. RNAcentral describes it as "bacterial SSU rRNA". It matches the Rfam family "Bacterial small subunit ribosomal RNA", at positions 29 to 372 of the family's 1533-position model. The record is from RNAcentral.
AACGAACGCUGGCGGCGUGGAUAAGACAUGCAAGUCGAACGGGAUUACUUCGAGUAGCAAUACCUGAAGUAAUUUAGUGGCGAACGGGUGCGUAACACGUGGGGAAUCUGCCGAGAAGUGGGGGAUAGCUCGUCGAAAGGCGAAUUAAUACCGCAUAUGAUCAGGGAAGACAUCUUUCCAACAUCAAAGCCGGGGCAACCUGGCGCUUCUUGAUGACCCCGCGGCCUAUCAGCUAGUUGGUGAGGUAACGGCCCACCAAGGCGAUGACGGUAGCUGGUCUGAGAGGACGACCAGUCACACUGGAACUGAGACACGGUCCAGACACCUACGGGUGGCAGCAGUCGAGAAUUUUUCUCAAU